RNAcentral lists this unclassified non-coding RNA (250 nucleotides) under Hevea brasiliensis (rubber tree). The record is from RNAcentral. Lineage: Eukaryota; Viridiplantae; Streptophyta; Magnoliopsida; Malpighiales; Euphorbiaceae.
CUCCAUAUCUUGUAAUCAUAGUCCCAACUUCCUGUAUACUGUACCCCCUUCCAAAGAAAAAUUCUGUCACAGGCUUCAAAUUGGAUUCAAUACUGAGGCCAAAAGUCUGUGGACAUCGGUGGAGAAGAACAGCAACAUCAACUCCCAAUGAACGGAAAUAUUCAGCCGUUGGCCGUAGUUUGUCCUCCACACUGUAACUUAUAAUGUUUGGGCAACGUGUUAGAAUCUUACCAAUGCUCUCUGCCGAGAG